CGGGCUCUUUCGAGUCUG
RNAcentral lists this non-coding RNA (18 nucleotides) under Arabidopsis thaliana (thale cress). The record is from RNAcentral. Lineage: Eukaryota; Viridiplantae; Streptophyta; Magnoliopsida; Brassicales; Brassicaceae.